RNAcentral lists this ribosomal RNA (499 nucleotides) under uncultured bacterium. RNAcentral's name for it is "partial 16S ribosomal RNA". It matches the Rfam family "Bacterial small subunit ribosomal RNA", at positions 28 to 507 of the family's 1533-position model. The record is from RNAcentral.
GACGAACGCUGGCGGCGUGCCUAAUACAUGCAAGUCGAGCGAAGUUUUUCUGGUGCUUGCACUAGAAAAACUUAGCGGCGAACGGGUGAGUAACACGUAAAGAACCUGCCUCAUAGACUGGGACCACUAUUGGAAACGAUAGCUAAUACCGGAUAACAGUAUUUCUCGCAUGAGAGAUAUUUAAAAGUUGGUUAUGCUAACACUAUGAGAUUGCUUUGCGGUGCAUUAGCUAGUUGGUGGGGUAAAGGCUCACCAAGACGACGAUGAAUAGCCGACCUGAGAGGCAGAGCGGGCAAGAGGAGACUGAGACACGGGCCAGACUGCUACGGGAGGAAGCAGUGGGGAAUCUUCCGAGAAGGGCGAAAGCUUGACGGAGCAACGCCGCGUGAGGGAUGAAAGUUUUCGGAUCUUAAAACUCUGUAGUUAGGGAAAAACAAAUAUGUAGGUAACUAAGAAGGGCGGGACGGUACCUAAUCAGAAAGCCACGGCUAACUACGUG